RNAcentral lists this ribosomal RNA (460 nucleotides) under uncultured bacterium. RNAcentral describes it as "partial 16S ribosomal RNA". It matches the Rfam family "Bacterial small subunit ribosomal RNA", at positions 338 to 795 of the family's 1533-position model. The record is from RNAcentral.
CCUACGGGAGGCAGCAGUGAGGAAUAUUGGUCAAUGGACGAGAGUCUGAACCAGCCAAGUAGCGUGAAGGAUGACUGCCCUAUGGGUUGUAAACUUCUUUUAUAUGGGAAUAAAAUGUUCCACGUGUGGGAUUUUGUAUGUACCAUAUGAAUAAGGAUCGGCUAACUCCGUGCCAGCAGCCGCGGUAAUACGGAGGAUCCGAGCGUUAUCCGGAUUUAUUGGGUUUAAAGGGAGCGUAGAUGGAUUGUUAAGUCAGUUGUGAAAGUUUGCGGCUCAACCGUAAAAUUGCAGUUGAUACUGGCAGUCUUGAGUACAGUAGAGGUGGGCGGAAUUCGUGGUGUAGCGGUGAAAUGCUUAGAUAUCACGAAGAACUCCGAUUGCGAAGGCAGUUCACUGGACUGCAACUGACACUGAGGCUCGAAAGUGUGGGUAUCAAACAGGAUUAGAUACCCCAGUAGUC